AGUUACUCAGUGUCACUAAUCUUGGAUGGUUUAGCAACAAAGAGAUGAGCUAAGUGUUGGAGUGGGUCUGGAAGAGGAACCCCUAUGCACUACUGAUGAGAAUGGAAAGGUGUACCUAUUUUAGCCAACAGUAUUGGGAUUCCUUAAAUUUUUUUAAAUAGAACUACCAUUUGAUCCGGUAACCCAGAAUCAGAGAAUAUAUCUGAGAGAAAUUAGCAUCUCUGUUUACUGGUGACAAGUCCUUACUUCCCCGAUGCUGAAGUAUAACACCAGAGAAGCGCGCUGAGGCAAGUUUAGAGUGGUAAGUUGAAGCUUUAUUAAAGGACAAUAGAAAAGACUUCUCCCCGGAGGAAGAAGGGGACCCAAGUUGUGGAAUCCAUGGAAGGGGGGAGGUCUUCCCUUGUUUAUAGCUAAGGUUUACUUUCAGAUUUCCCACAUUCCUUUUGCUUGCAUUCCUGUCCUUUGUUCUGUUAUCUUGCAGUGAUGAAAUGUAGGUGGGAAGGCCCAAAAGGUGGGGGACUGAUGGGCUGAAGGAGUAAUCAGGGCAGGAAGGGCUUUUAGAUUAGCAUCUCUUUUUUGCUGGGAGCUGCUUCAUUAACAUUUCCUUGGGAUGGGCUCUGUGCCUUGGGGAUUUUUUCAAUUCCUCUUUUCCUGGACUUCAUUCUUGAUUUUUACUCGAUAUUAGACCAAAUUUACCUAACUACACUAAUUACCUAUCUGUAAAUAUGGCUUCAAAAUGAAAUAAGUAUCCCAAAGAGGGCUGGGCGUGGUGGUGCAUGCCUGUAAUCCCAGUGGCUUGGGAGUCUGAGGCAGGAGGAUCGCAAGUUCAAAGCCAGCCUCAGCAAUGGUUAGGUGCUAAGCAACUCAGUGAGACUCUGUCUCUAAGUAAAAUACAAAAUAUACCUGGGGAUGUGUUUCAGUAGUUGAGUGCCCCAAGUGCCCCUGAGUUCAAUUCCCCGUACCCCAAAAAUAUUUAAAAAUUUAAAAAAUCCCAAAGAGGAAUGUUCAUUGCAGUAUUGCAAUAACCAAGACACAGAAAUAGUACAUCUUCAAAGGCAAGAGGAUAGAGAAAAUGAAAUCAGAUAUUAUUCAGCCACGAAGAAGAAAGGGGUUCUGCCAUUUCCAACAACAUGGGUGAAACUUAAGGGUCUUCUGCUAAGUGAAACAACUCAGAAAAGACAAAUAGUGUAUGCUUUGUAUUACUUGCAGAGCCCAAAAAAGUCCAACCGAUGGAAACGGAGUGGACUGGUGAUUGCCAGUGUUCUGGGGCUGGUGGAAUGGGAGAUGUGCCCCGAGCCUGCUGACGCUCAGGUAUGAGGUGGCUAGUGAGCAAGACUGCGAAUGCUGCAGCCUGGGGAGAGUUGCUGUGUUCUCACACACCACUGUAACUCUGAGAGGACAGAUGUGUUUGUUGUAGAUCAUAGCUCUUUCACUGUGUGUGUCUACGUGAUGCUUUGUACUCUUACAUGCACGCAGUUUUUUAGUGUCAGCUCAGAAAGCCUGGGGCCCAAAAUAGCAAGGAAGUCUGUUUCCAUCCCAGUGGUGAAGCUGGGCUAUCUGUGUGUGUGUGUGUGUGUGUGUGUGAAAGAGAGAGAGAGAGAGAGAGAGAGAGAAUGAGUCCUGGUACCUGCUCCCUGAUCAAAAAGAACUCCCUUGGAGCCCCUCACUGUGUGGGGUGUCAGGCCUGCCAUCGUAUUUGGGCACUAACUUCACCCUGGAGGUUCAGCUAAAGCUGCCCCUGAGGAGGUUCUCAUUUAGUGAUCUUUCUGGGUCACAGGAGCCUCGGGCGUGAAGCCCUGGGCACUGGGUCCUCAUGAUAGAUUGCUGUGGGUUCUCUAAAAGCCAGCCGAGACUGAGCAUGCCUUCUCUGCCCAGGGGCUCAUCUCCACAUUGCAGAGAGAAGGUGAACCCUCCUCCAUGGGGACUCACUGAACAGAGCUAGGCACACAGGCGCCACCCCCCCCCCCCAUGAUGAGUUGCAGAUAAACUGAAGAAUGGGUGAGGGAGGGCAGCACCCAUCAGUUUUUUUUUUUUUUUUAACAGAGGGAAGGACAGGAGAAGGACAUAGUUUGCAGGUCACUGGUCCGGAUGGGCAGUUUUGGUUCCUUGGGGGGUGGGGGGCAAGGACCAUCCCCUGUCAUGUAACUUGUUUUAACCUAAGUCUCUGUUUUCCUGGGCAUCUGUAAUAAGAAAAGCAGAAAUUGACCCAUACUUUGCAACUUCAUGUUUUUGAGAUUGAUGUACACUGCAGACAUUUACCUGUGCUUACAGCAGUUGUGCCACUGUGUUUGCUAUCCGAUCUCUGUUGGUAAAGGGAAGCCAAUGUCCUAGUCAGGAAGAGUUACCUCUACUAUUCUUAAUACUUUUAAUACAAGUAAUUAAAUCAUUCCAUUCUGAUGUCACUUUUUAGUUUCAAUUAACCCUUUCAUCUAAUUAUCCAACCUCACUCAGUCAUCUACCUCUGCUUCUAGUAACCCUCAGGAGGGGCAGGGUCAUCCCCUGCUUUGUUGAGGACUGUGCCUGCUGGUGAGUUGUCCUGUCCCUGAGCUCAGUGACAUCAGGCCAGGCACCGCACCAUGUCCUCUCUAGAGGGCACUCCAUGCUGUGGCUGGAGCAUUUGCAUCCCCCAAAUUCAUAAGUUGAAAUCCUAGUCCCUGAUAUGGUGGUAUUUGGAGGUGGGGCCUAGGGGGCCAGUGGUCCCUGGAGAUUGGUGGGUUUGUGGAAGGAAGCCUGUUGGGAAAACAUAUAAUGGAAGCAGCACCCCAGAGAAAAACCCCAACAUGGUGCCUAACGACCCUCUUUCUCCUCUUUUUUCUUUCACUGGCGCUAAAUGUUCCCGCUGGCGCCAAUGUUCAAAUCCUGCGGGUGGGAAACCUUAGCCCCAAUAAGAAUUAACUUCUUGGGCUCCGGAACUGACAUAUGGAAGAGCUUGCCAAUAAAUGGGUGACCCGUUAUCUACCUCAGCCAUGCCACCUCUCCUUAGGUCUAUAUAAACCCACAGCCUUUUGUAAUAAAGCAGAACCUCUCCAGUGAUUUGUGUCGUGUGGUGUCUUCAAUUUGUAGUGCGGUGCGGCGUCUUACAGUGGUGCCGAAACCUGGGAGACGGUGUGCUCGACAAACCGAGCCCCGUCUCCACCACCGCCGUCACCAACGACACAUUUCGCCCUUGUCUGUCUUCUUGGGCGCUGGCUCCCUGCACUCACCACUGAUCAGGUUUAGGUAAGUUCCCCCUCCCUGGCUCGCCAACUCCCUUUGGGCUAGCAGCAGGAAACGCUACCGUGAUCGUCCGCAACGCUCCUGAGGCCCAGUAGGGAGGAGGGAACGCACCCCACUAAGACCUUCACUGGUCGCAGUGGACCCUCUGGCGACCUGCUUCCCUUUGGGGUGUGAGGCUUCUGGGUUUACACGAGAGGCUCCCUGGUCUCUUCCUCCUCCGCGGAAGCCACUUCCCAAAGGAACUUGCCCCGCCGGAUCUGUGUUCAGCCCAGAGCUGAACUUCCAGCCCGGAGCUGCAGGUUCUGCUGGAGCUCUGUCCCUUCUUUCCUUGACUGUCUCAUUCUGGUCGAAAAACUUUCCUGACGUCAGGUUGCCCGCAGCCUCGAC
RNAcentral lists this long non-coding RNA (3603 nucleotides) under Marmota monax (woodchuck). The record is from RNAcentral. Lineage: Eukaryota; Metazoa; Chordata; Mammalia; Rodentia; Sciuridae.